This is an unclassified non-coding RNA of Megachile rotundata (alfalfa leafcutting bee), 3098 nucleotides long. NCBI's taxonomy places the organism in Eukaryota, Metazoa, Arthropoda, Insecta, Hymenoptera, Megachilidae. The record is from RefSeq and is a predicted model, not a curated record.
GUCAGUCUGCAAGAAUGGCGACCAUGGUGGAAGAACAGAAUUCGAUUGACAUGGGGGAAGAUAAAGAAUCACAAUUCGACCAAGUCACUUACAAUUGGGUGGAUAUUACUCACGAAUUUUUCGAAGCCAUUACAGAGCUGGAAUUGGGAGAACUUUUACACGAUGAGUUGUUUGGGUUGUUUGAAGCAAUGUCUGCAAUUGAAAUGAUGGAUCCAAAAAUGGAUGCUGGCAUGCUGUGUAAUAGAGGAAACAACAAACCAUGCACUUUCACACAGGCUGUUGAUUCUGGCACAUUAAAGUUGGACAAUUUGACCCCAUCUGAAGUUAUAGGAAUAAUAGAUUCAACUUAUGCGUGUAUAGUGUCUUGGCUCGAAGGUCAUAGUUUGGCCCAAACAGUUUUUAUCAAUUUGUACCUUCACCAACCCGGUCAAAUAGUAGAUAAAUCCCUGAAAACCUUUUGUUAUGCUGUGUAUAAAAUUAUUGAAAUAAUUAAAGACUGCAUCAAUAAAGCAUUAGUUUUCGAGGAAGAAGAUUUUCAAAGUGUUACUUAUGGCUACAAAUUGCAACAGGAUAUUACAGAACAGAAAACUAUAUCCAUGCUGCGAGAAGUAGAAGAAGAAUUGCAUAGGAAAAGUAGAAUAAAACCAGUUGAUGUAGAAUCUGAGAAAGAAUAUAACGAUGGAUUAGCAUUAUAUGCUAGAAUUAGAUUCACUAAAAUGUUUUAUCAAAUAUUGACAUUAAUGGGGAAAAAAGAACAAUUACAGCAGAACUUAAAUGAUUGUCAUAGAUUAUUAUCAAAUUGUUCAUACAUGAUUCAAGUUAUGAUUAAGACAGUGAAUCGUGGAGAGAAAGCUGAUGAGAUAUCAAAUUAUCCAAACAUCAUGGGAUUUGAUCCUAUGGUAAAUCAAAGAUUAUUACCACCAACAUUCCCUCGGUAUACUAAGAUAAAACCAAGAACAGAGGCCCUAAAAUAUUUAGAUGACUUACUAAACAGAUUUCGUACUGUAACUAUGAUCACUAAUCAAAAUGGAUUUCAUGCAGCUUUGGACUUUUUUUUAGAAUUUUCACGACAAAGUCCAUGUAUAUUAUCCAGAUCAAUGCUGCAAAUAGUUUAUUUGCCCACAACAAAUCGGGUGUUUGGCGUGCAACAUUUUUCGGAUGUUCUGAAAGAUGCAGCACGAAAUUUCAUUGCGCCUCCAGUUUUAAUGCCAAAGAGUACAUUACUUCAAAAUCAUCAAGCCAAGGAUUAUGUUGAUAAUUUUUUAUCUCAUUGUGUUAGCUUAUUUGGCAGUUUAUUACAACUUACCGGUCAUAAUAGAGCUAGACAAAGAGAUAAAUUGGCACAUUUAUUGGAGGAUUUUGCAACGUUACAGGAUGAAGCUGAAAGGGUAGACGCAUUUUUACAUACUUUGUCUUUAAAAAGUGAUACACCUAGAUCACACCUAGCUUGUUUUGGAACAUGGAUUUUGUAUCAUACAUUACGAGUUAUGGUCAUGUACUUGUUAAGCGGUUUUGAGCUUGAGUUGUAUUCGGUACACGAAUACCACUACAUAUUUUGGUACCUGUAUGAGUUUCUUUAUGGAUGGCUCGUAUCGGCCAUCACGAGGGCAGACACGUUCUUAAUGGAUCAAGAUGUACAUAAUGAUAGAGAAGUACAUAAAGGUAGAGGAGGCAAAAAGAGUGCUAAAAAUAAGAAAAAGAAGUCAACACCCAGACCGUAUGACUUGGAAAUAUUAAUGUAUCAAGCUAUGCAAAAUAUAUGUGGUGGAUACUAUAAAGCCUUAGUAGGUUUUCGUAUGGAUGGGAAAAUACCACUUCCCGAGAUGCAAUUUGACUCGGAACGAGUUCGAUACGAGCAUAGGUUACUACCGUUUUCUUCAUUAUUGACUCCGCCACCGGUAAAUUAUCAAGAAUUUUUAGAUAUAACCAAUGCACAGAUGCAUAAAAGAAACGAGAAGGUCACUAGUGCAACACUGUAUGUAGCUGGGUGCCGUCAUUUUCAUCAAGCUAGGAAUAUGUUGGAAAGAUCAUUGUCCCUUUAUCCGCCGAACGCUAGUACCGUGAAUGAGAUUAAUGAUUUAUUAAAAGUGGCGAAAACGAAUUUUGUGGUUCUAAAAUUACUUGCUGAUGGGCAUAAAAAGGAUUCUAAAAAACCUCCAGUAUUUGACUUUUCUUGUCAUCAACAUUUCCCACUGAUAAAACUAACUUAAAAAAAUUUCAUUUGUAAUAGCCAUCAUUUCAUGCUAUAAACGACAUAUUAUUUAUUCUAGCUUUAACCGUGUAAAAAAAUAUUUUUUGUGUUGUUGACUUUGGAUGCACUUUUACUUUCAUUUAAUACAACCUUUGAUGCUCUUCCCCUUUUUUUGUUUUAUUAACGAGCACCCCCCUUCAUUGUACAAAUGUGUAUUAUUUGUCGUGCAUAUUUUGUGGAUAAAUUUCUAUACAAAAUGAAAACGAUAUUUGUAUAUAGUUUAUCACAAGUUGUAUAUGUUUUUAAGUGAGUUCAUGUGGAUACUGAGAAUGAAUGUUUGAGGAUGAGGUUUGUGAAAUUGACGAGUCGCUGUGAAAUGUAAAUAAAAAAUGUAGAAUGUAUAGUUUCGAAAUAUUGUAUAGUAACACGUUUUAUUAGUGAAAUUGUUAACGAUUCUUGUUAGAGAUAUGUGUAACAUUUGAGGGACACUGAAGGCUUCGUCUACGAGAAUACAGGUUCUGAUAACAAUCUUUUUUACACGAUAAUUUCAUAAUUUUAUUAAUCUCAUGUGACCUAAUUUGUUUUCGUCUACGAGCAUCCGUAGCUCUAAACAUCUAGACGAAAAUGCUAUCGUUUAUAUACAUUGUUAAAUUCUGUACUAUAUGCACGAAAAUUGUAAUAUUGACUCGAAGCAAUGAAUCUGAAUGUAAAAUUAAUAAUUGACAAAGAAAAUAAGAUGCUUGUAAAUCGCAAGAUUCAUGUGAGAAGUUGACAUGAAAGUUACACUUGACGCGCACAAACACAUUUCCGAAAACAAAUGAAAUUAGUAGCAGAUUUUGUACUCGAAAUCGAACUCGCUGUACAACCUAUUAUUUUCUGAAGUCGAAUAAAAGAUUUUGUUGCUGUA